RNAcentral lists this transfer RNA (66 nucleotides) under Lens contradens. Its description in RNAcentral is "tRNA-Ser". The record is from RNAcentral. Lineage: Eukaryota; Metazoa; Mollusca; Bivalvia; Unionida; Unionidae.
AGAAGAUCAGGUCUACCAGUCUGUCUUGAAAUCAGACACUAGGACGUUCAACUCGUCCAUCUUCUU